RNAcentral lists this long non-coding RNA (320 nucleotides) under Panax ginseng (ginseng). Its description in RNAcentral is "long non-coding RNA (PGIN_LNC001738)". Lineage: Eukaryota; Viridiplantae; Streptophyta; Magnoliopsida; Apiales; Araliaceae. The record is from RNAcentral.
GUACAACGGGGCUGAUCACCCUCCGUACCCGUAAGCUAGAACGAUUUGCGGAUGAAUUUCUGCUAAACCUUUUCAAAAAUGAAAAACAAUGUUCAUAGUAUGUUUCUUAAACCCUAUUCAUGGGUAGAGCCUAAUUUCAAGAAUUUGAAAGAGAGUUGUUAUGUGAAUUUUUUUAUUAGUACAGAUUACUUCACAACUUUUGCUUCGUUGUAGAAGUGUUAUGUAAAGAGAAUACUUAUAUUCUUUCAGCUUAUAUAUAUAAUUGCUAUUACUUGUUGGGCACUCAAAUGCUCAUCCUUGCUUAAACUAAAUGUUUUCAG